This 497-nucleotide ribosomal RNA is filed under the name uncultured bacterium. RNAcentral's name for it is "partial 16S ribosomal RNA". It matches the Rfam family "Bacterial small subunit ribosomal RNA", at positions 28 to 507 of the family's 1533-position model. The record is from RNAcentral.
GAUGAACGCUGGCGGCGUGCCUAAUACAUGCAAGUCGAGCGAACAGACGAGGAGCUUGCUCCUCUGACGUUAGCGGCGGACGGGUGAGUAACACGUGGAUAACCUACCUAUAAGACUGGGAUAACUUCGGGAAACCGGAGCUAAUACCGGAUAAUAUAUUGAACCGCAUGGUUCAAUAGUGAAAGACGGUUUUGCUGUCACUUAUGGAUGGAUCCGCGCCGCAUUAGCUAGUUGGUAAGGUAACGGCUUACCAAGGCAACGAUGCGUAGCCGACCUGAGAGGGUGAUCGGCCACACUGGAACUGAGACACGGUCCAGACUCCUACGGGAGGCAGCAGUAGGGAAUCUUCCGCAAUGGGCGAAAGCCUGACGGAGCAACGCCGCGUGAGUGAUGAAGGUCUUCGGAUCGUAAAACUCUGUUAUUAGGGAAGAACAAAUGUGUAAGUAACUAUGCACGUCUUGACGGUACCUAAUCAGAAGGCCACGGCUAACUACGUG